ACGAGGAUUUUCUAUGUAAACAUGCACUAGACUAGAUGUUUUUAAACGUUUCCCACCGCGUUUUAAAUGCGCCAUGACAAGUUAAAAGAAAAACUUAUAAGCCUGCAGUGUUAUUAAAUCUUACGUCGUAACUCUAAUAAAUCCAACAAUCGUUGGACCGCAAGUCAUGUGCGCGCACGCUUAGGCGAUCACAAGCGCUCUUGGCGGGAACUAGAGCUUGUAAACGACGCCAGAUGAUGAUUCUCACGAAGACUCUAUCAAGUGCGUAGUUACUGAAGCCAGUCAGCGUUUGUUUAGUUGCAUUUGAUGCUUUUAAAAUAACUGCAGUUGUCAAAGACACUAUAUGUCUGUUUUUGCAUUAAAACAUAAACAGCGUCAUGAGUGUUGAGAACAGAGACUUGUUACAUAAGGGCCAGGCUGUGGAUAAAGUUCCAAACUGGGAUGUAAACGUUGAUGGAUGCAUCAAGAUCUGAUGAAACAAGGAAAGCAAGGGUUGGGGCUGUCAGGCUCGUGAGUUGCUGUGGACUUGGCGGCUAAUUGAGGAGCAGCUCCACACCCUGUCGUCAUUAAUCACUAGGGCUGCCGGGCUGCCUGCCCGGGACACUGCUGUGAUGGGCUGCAGCUCUCUCCCUUUCUCACACACACUCUUUCUCUCCUCAGUAGUUGACUGGACACAUUGGGAAGGAGGGGGGGUCUUGCCCCCCAACCUCCAUUCUAAGCCCAGUGGGACAGCAGAGAAAGGGAGAAAGAGAUCAAUCAAACAGGUGUAGCCCUGCUGAGAAGACACUGGUCAGGGACUAAAUUAACUCCACACCCCCACCCACACAUCCAUCCAGCUCCCCUCCCCUCCACAAGCAGGCGACAGAAACAGAGUGACUGCAUAUUGACUCAGCUGGAGCCCGGGAGACGAGGGAGAGAAAGAUAGAUGGCAGGGAGAGAUUGAUGAGGAGAAAGACUGAGAAAAGGAUAGAGCAGGAAUGUGAUGAACGAGUGGGAAAGGAGUGAUGGCAGGAUUAAUCUCUCACCUUCGGACAAAACGUAAAAUGUCCUCCCCUCCGUUUAACCUUGCUGUACUGGCUUUAACUAAUAUUUGAUCUCUUUUUUCUCAUUCUUCAUCAAAACCCUGCGUAUUUACAUGCCCAGAACAUUUUGUGUAUUCUCAUUUGUUCAAAAUAAAACAAAUUGCUGACUAAA
Megalobrama amblycephala (Wuchang bream) is the source of this 1194-nucleotide long non-coding RNA. RefSeq lists it as uncharacterized. The record is from RefSeq and is a predicted model, not a curated record. NCBI's taxonomy places the organism in Eukaryota, Metazoa, Chordata, Actinopteri, Cypriniformes, Xenocyprididae. The transcript has 3 exons.